UACGUAGGGUGCAAGCGUUAGUCCGGAAUUAUUGGGCGUAAAGAGCUUGUAGGCGGUUUUGUCGCGUCUGCUCGGUGAAAUUUCGGGGCGUCAACCCCGAACUUGCAGUGGGUACGGGCAGACUAGAGUGUGGUAGGGGGAGACGUGGAAUUCCUGGUGUAGCGGUGAAAUGCGCAGAUAUCAGGAGGAACGACCGGCUGGCGAAGGCGGGUCUCUCGGGCCGGAUACUGACGCUGAGGACGAAAGCGUGGGGAGCGAACAGG
This 263-nucleotide ribosomal RNA is filed under the name uncultured bacterium. RNAcentral's name for it is "partial 16S ribosomal RNA". It matches the Rfam family "Bacterial small subunit ribosomal RNA", at positions 524 to 776 of the family's 1533-position model. The record is from RNAcentral.